GGGGCUCCCGCCUGGCUCGCGGCUGCUGCUGGGGCUCCGUUGGGCGGGGGCGGUGGUCGUGGCCGUGGCCGUGGCCGUGGCCGUGGCCGUGGCCGUGGCCGCCCCGGGAGCUCCUGAGCGCCGGGAGCCAAGUCAGGGGGUCUCUGGGCACUGUGGGGCUCCGGAGUACAGGCGGGAUCCCGUCCUCAGGAAUAAACACCUGGGAGAAGCUAAGAAUUGUCCCCCUCGGAGCUGCAGGAGGAGAGAGAAGCCCUGAGAAGCUGCGGGAAACACAACCCGGUUCUGUUUUCCUUCUGAUAGAGGAAUUGUCAGAGAAACCGUUGAUCUUCACAGAGCGGUUUCCUGAGAUGAUGGCAAAGACCGCGUUCUCGGGUAGCUGAGAGGGUCUCUUGCCUGGCUGCCAGCCACUGUGAAUAACACGUCGCGACUCCCGUCAUGUCUGUGUGGAUCAGCGGGGAACAGCUGCCCUGGGACAAGGUGCAGAGCAGGAGGUGACAUCACUUUGUCGUGGUGGCUUUGCUCUGGCUCUGCUACGUUGUGCCAUCAUCCAGUGCAAGAUGUGCUCAGUUUCCUCACCUGCAAGAUAAAGUUCAUUAUUACAUAAAGCUGAAAGACUUAAGGGAUCAGCUGAAAGGUAUCGCACCAAACACAGAGGUGCAGGAGGUGGAGUAAACAUUUGACUUGCAACUUGCACAAGCAGAGGAUUCUAAAAAGAUGGCUGUCAAAGAAGAAAAAUAUGAUCCGGGUUACGAAGCAGCGUACGGAGGAGCUUCCUGUGACCGUGCGCCAUAUGAAAGUGAACAGUGCCAUUUCUCUUCAAAUGGAAUUGCAAUCAAUCCACAGUGCUGUGAAGGGUCAUCCUUCGGUGAAGUUCCUAAUGGACAAUGGAUGACCCAGUCCUUUGAGGACCAGAUUCCAGAGUUCGGUGCUGGUUUGACACAGGAAGAAGUGGGAAGUGGCGCCUAAGAGCUGUUUCUUCUCAGCCAUUCAUACGUGCUUCAGUGACUGAGAAAGAACUGAGAUUCCAUGCUUGUGCCUGACCAUCUUCUUUCCCUCUUCUAUCAGGAGGAAAGAGAUGAAGUAAAAGCAAAACGCUGAUCAAAACGCGAACAUUUUGGUGAUCUUAUGACAGGUGCUUCACAUACUUGAAAAAUAGAUACAAACAGUAUCUCCGCAAUGUGCACUGGCCAGAGAUUCCUGUACCGGUGUGUUUUAUCCUUUCCUCACAGCCAGUGACAGUUGUCAAGCACUGGGUGUAGCCAGUUAGUGUAGAUUCUAAUCCUGCUGUCACAGCUGUCACUGAGAUCAUGCACUGUUGACCUGGUGUGAGGCAGGCAUGAUGUUUACAGUUUUCUUCCCAAAUUAUGUGGCUUAAUUCUGAGCGUCUUAAAUCAAGAAAGCAUGCAUUAUGGUUCCCAUUGUGUUUAUUAGCGUCAGCCUAAAGCUGUUCAGUAUAUUGUCCAAAAGGUAUAGGAUUUGUCUUGUCUAUUAUUUAUAGUGUACUGUAUCGUGUAUUGCUGUUUACAUGGAUGUUUUCCUGCAGGUGCUCAAAGUAUCUCACAUCAGGGAUUUGUUACAAUUCCAUCUUAUUUUUCAGCAAAACUCGACGGAUGUAAUAAGUACUGCUAAGUAUGUAGCGCAGUAGGAUAUAACUACUGUAAGACUAUCCUGUUUGAUUGGAAGGGAAAGGUCUCUUUAACAGUCAUCUACCAGGUUCUCUAGGUAUCAAAUACAGCAAAGUGUACAAUGACCGUUUCACUAAAUAGUGCAAUCUAUGUGUUCUCCCUCAGAACUGGUGCUUUUUUCAUGACGGUAAUAGAAAAGUUCUUAACCUGUCCUAAAUCUAUCCAUGUUUCACAAUAAAAUCAGGAACUGUA
Long non-coding RNA from Columba livia (rock pigeon), 1877 nucleotides. RefSeq lists it as uncharacterized. The transcript has 4 exons. The record is from RefSeq and is a predicted model, not a curated record. Lineage: Eukaryota; Metazoa; Chordata; Aves; Columbiformes; Columbidae.